GAUGAACGCUGGCGGCGUGCCUAAUACAUGCAAGUCGAGCGAACAGACGAGGAGCUUGCUCCUCUGACGUUAGCGGCGGACGGGUGAGUAACACGUGGAUAACCUACCUAUAAGACUGGUAUAACUUCGGGAAACCGGAGCUAAUACCGGAUAAUAUAUUGAACCGCAUGAUUCAAUAGUGAAAGACGGUUUUGCUGUCACUUAUAGAUGGAUCCGCGCCGCAUUAGCUAGUUGGUAAUGUAACGGCUUACCAAGGCAACGAUGCGUAGCCGACCUGAGAGGGUGAUCGGCCACACUGGAACUGAGACACGGUCCAGACUCCUACGGGAGGCAGCAGUAGGGAAUCUUCCGCAAAGGGCGAAAGCCUGACGGAGCAACGCCGCGUGAGUGAUGAAGGUCUUCGGAUCGUAAAACUCUGUUAUUAGGGAAGAACAAAUGUGUAAGUAACUAUGCACGUCUUGACGGUACCUAAUCAGAAAGCCACGGCUAACUACGUG
RNAcentral lists this ribosomal RNA (497 nucleotides) under uncultured bacterium. RNAcentral describes it as "partial 16S ribosomal RNA". It matches the Rfam family "Bacterial small subunit ribosomal RNA", at positions 28 to 507 of the family's 1533-position model. The record is from RNAcentral.